GAUGAACGCUGGCGGCGUGCCUAAUACAUGCAAGUCGAGCGAACAGACGAUGAGCUUGCUCCUCUGACGUUUGCGGCGGACGUGUGUGUAACACGUGGAUAACCUACCUAUUUUUCUUGGAUAACUUCGUGAAACCGGAUCUAAUACCGGAUCAUAUAUUGUACCGCAUGGUUCAAUAGUGCAUGACGGUUUUUCUGUCUCUUAUAGCUGGUUCCGGGCCGCAUUAGCUAGUUGGUAAGGUAACGUCUUACCAAGGCAACGAUGCGUAGCCGAACUGAGAGGGGGAUCGGACAAAAUGGAACUGAGAAACGGUACAGACUACUACGGGAGGCAGCAGUAGGGAAUAUGGAGCAAAGGGCGAAAGCAUGACGGAGCAAGGCCGCGGGAGUGAAGAAGGACUUCGGAUCGUAAAACUCUGUUAUUAGGGAAGAAAAAAAGUGUAAGAAAAUAUGGACGUAGUGACGGUAACGAAUAAGAAAGCAACGGCUAACUACGUG
Molecule: ribosomal RNA, 497 nt
Filed under: uncultured bacterium
Lineage: Bacteria
Description: partial 16S ribosomal RNA
Rfam family: Bacterial small subunit ribosomal RNA
Source: RNAcentral